GCAAACACCUCCUUUUUGCGAGUAUCAGUAUUAUUGACAGAAAGUAACUUUCAUGGUGUUGGGCUCUAAUGUUGGGCUGCAACAUCAUCAAACGUACCUGUGUUAAACUUUGUAUGUCAUGGCCGCUGGAAAAAUCAAUGGAAAAAUUGGAUUUGAAGGAAAGACUCCAUUCCUUAUUGGUGUUGCUGGAGGCACAGCGAGCGGGAAGUCUACAGUUUGCAAAAGAAUAAUGGAACAGCUUGGUCAAGUUGAAAUUAACCAGAAAGAAAGACAAGUGGUGACAAUCAGUCAAGAUAGUUUCUACCGAGAGCUGACGGAAGAUGAGAAAGUUAAAGCGGUCAAAGGACUUUAUAAUUUUGACCAUCCAGAUGCCUUUAACGAGCAGUUAAUGUACCAAACCUUGAAAGAUGUACUCGCUGGUCAACAAUGUAAAGUUCCAGUUUAUGACUAUCUCACCAAUUCAAAGUGUAACGAUCAGUUCAUCACAAUCUAUCCAGCAGAUGUUGUUUUAUUUGAGGGUAUCCUUGUGUUUUACUUUCCGGAAAUCCGUGACUUAUUUCACAUGAAACUGUUUGUUGACACGGACUCUGACACUAGAUUAGCUCGAAGAGUUCCUCGAGAUAUUAAUGAAAGGGGUAGAGAUAUAAAUCAAGUUUUGCAACAAUACAUGAAUUUUGUCAAACCAGCCUUUGAGGAGUUUUGUCUUCCGACCAAAAAAUUUGCUGAUGUCAUUAUUCCCCGAGGAGCGGACAAUAUUGUUGCCAUUGAACUGAUUGUGCAGCAUAUCAGAGAUUUCUUGAAUCGGCAGCGAACAGAACAUGUAACUGAGUUUUCAACUUUCGGUACACACAGAUCUCCAAACAAGCAAUUUUCUCGUCCACACUAAUGUUUAUUUCAACAGAUCGUACUUUUUCCUGGUGUUUUGGUCUCCUUCUACUUCCUCUGAGGAACGUUAACAGAAAUUCUCAUAAUUCUUUCCCCUAUGGCUAACUAGAUUUAUUCUCAACAAUGUAACAAAGGAGAACAUUUAAAGUCAAGAAAAAAAGAAGAAAAGAAAAAAACUCAGAUGUAUACCAACAAAGAUAUUUUAUUACCAUGAUAUCAUUCCAAAUAGACUCGUUUCUAAAUUUAAGAUGUACAUUGAUGAUGUACAAGAUGAUCUUUUCUCUAGGGCAAACUAGAGAUUUAAGAGAAAAUUUUAUUACCUAUAGUUCAGUUUUUUCAUUAAUUAAAAAAGUUGAUUUAUGGAACACAUUGCACAAGUAAUAAGCAUAAUUUGUAUGAAAAUAAGAAAUUCUGGAGACUAGCCAUAUCUUAAAACAUUGGUUUUGAUAACUUAUUAUUCUUCUACAACCCUGUUGAUAAGAUUCUCCUCUCGGAAUCGGCACUAUUAAGUAGAUGUAAGAAUUAUUAUCGAUAAAAUUGGAAAGCGGACGAAAGAACAGUAUUAAUGACUUUAGCCGUAUUUGAUGGAGCCUCAACAUACGUCCAGAAUAGGAUGCUGCAAAUAUUUUCUAUCAAAUCUCAUCGAAGCUGACAAUGAAUCUUCACCACUUUCUCAAGGAAAAUAUAACUUUUGCCACUGUAUCAUCAGAA
This is a non-coding RNA of Bemisia tabaci, 1596 nucleotides long. The record is from RefSeq and is a predicted model, not a curated record. NCBI's taxonomy places the organism in Eukaryota, Metazoa, Arthropoda, Insecta, Hemiptera, Aleyrodidae.